Molecule: ribosomal RNA, 252 nt
Filed under: uncultured bacterium
Lineage: Bacteria
Description: partial 16S ribosomal RNA
Rfam family: Bacterial small subunit ribosomal RNA
Source: RNAcentral
UACGUAGGGGGCAAGCGUUGUCCGGAUUUAUUGGGCGUAAAGAGCGUGUAGGCGGCCACACAGGUCUGCUGUGAAAACUCGAGGCUCAACCUCGAGCUGUCGGUGGAAACCGUGUGGCUAGAGUCCGGAAGAGGAGAGUGGAAUUCCCGGUGUAGCGGUGAAAUGCGCAGAUAUCGGGAAGAACACCCGUGGCGAAGGCGGCUCUCUGGACGGUACUGACGCUGAGACGCGAAAGCGUGGGGAGCGAACAGG